AGGGGAGCUUUCUGUCUAUGUGAACUCUUUUGCAAUUCUUACAAAAUCUCUACUGCCCUUGCCAAACAAAUAUCAUGGUCUAACUCAUGUGGAAGAUUCACCAAAGGAGAGCUUCCUAAGUAUGAAGUGAGAUUGAUGUAGGCAGUGGAUCUUCAUCAUUUGCAAGAGGAGUCAUUGACCUUGUCUUGGGAUAUGUCACAAGCUUGGUGAUUGACCUGGCUAUUUCGAUAGAGGAAAGCCUUAACGUACAUGGUGGGGUUGUAUCAUUGGGACACUCAUUAGGAUGCAGUGGAGCUCGUAUCUUGGUCACAUUGUUAGGGGUAAUCUAUAAGCUUCCCUUCUCUUGCAAUGCAUUCCUAGUUUGACAUUCUAAUAUCAUUUAUAUAGUUCUCUGGUUUUGUUUACAUGUUUUCUUAAUGAUCUAAAGUCAUAGUUCGUGGUCAUAUCUAAGCUUAUGCUUUCUACAUAUACUCAUGUGAAGUGAUCUCGUGUUUGCCAUUUAUUCUUUUAAAUUUUUGUUGAGAGUUUAGCUGUGGAAUAAAAGAGACAUUGGUAACUAUGCUCUCUCUGAUAUAUUUUACUUGGAAUUUCUGAAAUAAGAAUAAUGUUGUUGCAAGUAUUGAGACAUAAAAAGGGAAAGUACGGGGUUGGUGUCAUAUGCAACGGUGGCGGGGGAGCUUCUUCACUUGUUCUUGAGCUCAUGGAUCAAAGAAUCAGAAAGAAAAAAACAUAUAAAACUCUGCAGCAACAAUCUAUUGCAACAACACCUCUGACACUCUACAGAUUCCCUAGAUGUGACAAGAGAAGUAUAAAAGGAUACUUAAGACUCCUUGAAAGUAGUAAUUUUGUUUAUUUAUUUGUGUUGAAAGUAGUAACUUUUAGACUCCUUGAAUACUUAAAGAAUAUUUUGUUGUUGAUGACAAUGUUGAAUGUUUUAAACUAAAUUGUGGAUUGUUAAUUCAAUGUUGAAUGUUCUUACUUUUUGUUA
Molecule: long non-coding RNA, 988 nt
Organism: Humulus lupulus (European hop)
Lineage: Eukaryota; Viridiplantae; Streptophyta; Magnoliopsida; Rosales; Cannabaceae
Exons: 6
Source: RefSeq, a predicted model, not a curated record